This 74-nucleotide transfer RNA is filed under the name Planctomyces sp. RNAcentral's name for it is "tRNA-Val". It matches the Rfam family "tRNA". From Rfam's summary of the family: Transfer RNA (tRNA) molecules are approximately 80 nucleotides in length. Their secondary structure includes four short double-helical elements and three loops (D, anti-codon, and T loops). Lineage: Bacteria; Pseudomonadati; Planctomycetota; Planctomycetia; Planctomycetales; Planctomycetaceae. The record is from RNAcentral. RNAcentral also lists the same sequence under 4 other names.
GCGCCCGUAGCUCAGUUGGUUAGAGUGCAUGCUUGACAUGCAUGAGGUCACUGGUUCGAGUCCAGUCGGGCGCA